RNAcentral lists this ribosomal RNA (250 nucleotides) under uncultured bacterium. Its description in RNAcentral is "partial 16S ribosomal RNA". It matches the Rfam family "Bacterial small subunit ribosomal RNA", at positions 524 to 776 of the family's 1533-position model. The record is from RNAcentral.
UACGUAGGGUGCGAGCGUUUAAUCGGAAUUACUGGGCGUAAAGCGUGCGCAGGCGGUCUGUUAAGACAGAUGUGAAAUCCCCGGGCUUAACCUGGGAACUGCAUUUGUGACUGGCAGGCUAGAGUAUGGCAGAGGGGGUAGAAUUCCACGGUGUAGCAGUGAAAUGCGUAGAGAUGUGGAGGAAUACCGAUGGCGAAGGCAGCCCCUGGGCCAAUACUGACGCUCAUGCACGAAGCGUGGGAGCAACAGG